GUCAUGCCACCCAUCUCUCAAAUUGGUUAUCUUCUUCUUCUUUUGAAUUGAAAGCCCCAAAACAUUUGCAUCCAUUUUGUUUCUAUACGAUUCUCGUAAACUUAUGUGGUCAUUUUGUCGAGCAGCUGGUGUGCAUGGAAAAUGUAAGAAGAUAAGACCAAGUAAAACGCAACAAAAUGGCCAAAGGUUUAGUGAUAUUCAUACCAGCGAUUAGGUGGACCAAACUCAGUGUGUCGUGAGGAGUUAACAGCGUCCAUCACAUUAGGCAUCACAAAAGUCUCAACUUUCAUUAUUUACGUCAUACUUUCGUUUCUCU
Arabidopsis thaliana (thale cress) is the source of this 316-nucleotide long non-coding RNA. RefSeq annotates it as other RNA. NCBI's taxonomy places the organism in Eukaryota, Viridiplantae, Streptophyta, Magnoliopsida, Brassicales, Brassicaceae. The transcript has a single exon. The record is from RefSeq.